Molecule: microRNA, 22 nt
Filed under: Mus musculus (house mouse)
Lineage: Eukaryota; Metazoa; Chordata; Mammalia; Rodentia; Muridae
Description: mmu-miR-6916-3p
Source: miRBase by way of RNAcentral
CUUGGUCUCCCUCUUCCUACAG